RNAcentral lists this long non-coding RNA (637 nucleotides) under Marmota monax (woodchuck). Lineage: Eukaryota; Metazoa; Chordata; Mammalia; Rodentia; Sciuridae. The record is from RNAcentral.
AGUUUUUAGACUAUGCCUCACCUGGAGUUCCUCCACUGUGUAAAGCAGUGGUUGGCUGUAAGCUACUCACUCCUUUCCGUGUACAGUGUGAAGGUGGAAUGACUACACCUUGCUUCUAUGAGUAAACAACCCCUAUCUUCCCAGCACAACCAUAGGCACAGGUCUAUAAAUAACUUAUUUGUGUCAAUUUAUCAAACUAAAUCAGGAGUACCUGGAUAUGUGGACAUCCCAAAUCAUAUCAGAAACACCAGACACAGGAGCUUAUCAACCUCUCCAGCUACAAACCCUCAUCUAAGACUCAUAAAAGGAGAAGCCCCCACAAGAUUAGACACAGCAGCACCCUGACCCCAUCACCUGGUUGCUUGCACAAGCCUUGCCCAGGAAAAUCAGCAACAAACUUCUAGUUCUAUAGCUCUUGGCUUCAGCACAGUGUGGCUUUCCUGCCCGAGACAACAUCACAUGGCUCACCCCAAGAUGACACUUCCAGCUGACACCUAAAACUUCUGUCUGUCUGGACCCUCGGUCUUGACAACUCUGUGGAACUUGUUCAUUGCAAUUCUUAUCUGACUAUCUAUAGCGGCUCUUUGGCUCUUUCCAUUCAUAUCUGCUCUUGGCCUGUGGUCUUGGCACAACAUCC